GGGGGCGACAUGGUUUCGACGGGGCUCAUGUCUGAGUUUGGGUAGCGAGCCGAGAUUCCAGCAGUUCUCGUUAAACAGGCUGGAAAACAACAAUUGCCGAUUCCGAAUUGGCUCUGGCCGCUUAGUCUGAACAAGACUUAAGCGCCUGUCGCGCCUCCUCGGCCCGUCGUGGAGGGUCGCGGCAUAAACCAGGCGGGCUUACUCCCGGCGAGGGCCGCCGGCGUCGGGGGGACAUCUUAGGUGGUUGGUCGGACGCACCCAGCUCCUACGGGGGCGCGAGGCGAGAUUUGUAGUAGGGGCUACGCUCGUAGAGACCUGGGCCAGACGGGUUUCGGACGGGGGUUCGAUUCCCCCCGCCUCCACCA
Molecule: transfer-messenger RNA, 365 nt
Filed under: Thermoleophilia
Lineage: Bacteria; Bacillati; Actinomycetota
Also listed under: 1 other name
Description: RBG-16-64-13 sp012523095 Standard tmRNA
Rfam family: transfer-messenger RNA
About the family: Bacterial tmRNA, also known as 10Sa RNA or SsrA, is named for its dual tRNA and mRNA-like properties. Its role is to liberate the mRNA from a stalled ribosome.
Source: RNAcentral